Small nuclear RNA from Nannospalax galili (Upper Galilee mountains blind mole rat), 165 nucleotides. Its record names the gene U1. It matches the Rfam family "U1 spliceosomal RNA". From Rfam's summary of the family: U1 is a small nuclear RNA (snRNA) component of the spliceosome (involved in pre-mRNA splicing). Its 5' end forms complementary base pairs with the 5' splice junction, thus defining the 5' donor site of an intron. There are significant differences in sequence and secondary structure between metazoan and yeast U1 snRNAs, the latter being much longer (568 nucleotides as compared to 164 nucleotides in human). The record is from Ensembl. Lineage: Eukaryota; Metazoa; Chordata; Mammalia; Rodentia; Spalacidae.
AUACUUACCUGACAGGGGAAACACCAAGAUCAGGAAGGUGGUUUUUCCAGGCCAAGGCUCAUCCACUGCACUUGGGAUGUGCUGAACCCUGCGAUUUCUCCCAAAUGCAGGAAGCUAGACUAUAUAAAUUGUGGUAGUGGGGGACUCUGUCAGUACUCUCCCCUG